Molecule: long non-coding RNA, 1728 nt
Filed under: Sorghum bicolor (sorghum)
Lineage: Eukaryota; Viridiplantae; Streptophyta; Magnoliopsida; Poales; Poaceae
Description: long non-coding RNA (SBIC_LNC011480)
Source: RNAcentral
GUGCACUUAUUGAUGUUGGAGAGGAUCAGAGAACCCUGGAUGCUGUCUGUCUGAAUUGUUGGAGUAUGACAUGAAUUCUGAAUGUUCUCUGGAUUUUAUGUCUGCAGCAAAGAGGCUCGCUGGCAGUCCAAUACAUCCUGGUUCAGCAAGACAAACAGGAUACUUUGAUACUUUAAAUAUCUACUAAUGCAAAUCCAUAGGUGUUUAAGAUUGCUUUGCAAAAUACUUUGUUUGCUGCUGGGACAUUAUUGGCUAAUUUUUACCUGGAAGACCCUUCUUUUCUUUUUUUUUUCUCUCUGAGAAGUACCUGCCUUUGAUGUACUUCUGUUACAGUACUGUAUUAACUUUCUGCAGGAUACUUGUGGCGUUUUCUUUCUUUUGAAACACCCUACAUACAAUUUCAAACUAAAAAUAAACACUUCUUAUUUACUAGCAGUGUUGUCUUUUCAGACAGGUAGCAGUUAGCCUCAAAGCUAAGGAACACACCUUGCUCAUGUUAAUGUCUGCCUUCAGCUACAUAUCUAUAUGAUCAUCAAUUGUGGGAGUAGGGUAUGUAUGCCAUGACCACCAAACCUAGUCAUAAAUCCAUGGUGUGCAAAACCAGUAAGUUGGCCACUGUGUACUGUAUUGUCAUCAGGAGCUAGAUAGAACUACAGGUGAUUUGCUUGCAAUUCUCUGUUGUCUAUGGACGACUUUUUUUGAAUGUGUAACUGUGUCAUAUGAGUAAACUUUACAUGAGCCAAAUUUGCUGGAAUUUCUAGUGGUUUCAGUAAACUAACAUCAGUAGAAAACAUGCACCGAGCUGUUCCUUCCCACCACUAAUGCAGUCAGGCACCCAGGCUCAGUCCAAGUUUGAACCAAAAUUCAGAUCAUCUGCCUGAACUUGUGGUAGCAAGGACUUUUGUGUGUCAGUCAGGCACCCAGGCUAGCAGUCCAACUGUCCAAGUUUGAACCAAAAAUUCAGAUCUGGCUGACCUUCUAGUGGUAACACCUUGUUCAUCCCUAAAAUUCCUUGUUGUUUCAUUAAUGUGUAGCAGUUAUGUGAAUCAUAUUUGAUUACUAAAGUUUGGCUUGUGCUUUGCAGGUUGAAUGGCAGGUUCUUGUAUGAAAGAUGAGAUGGGUUGUCAAGUGUCGCCCUGAACAAGGACAUAUUUUGGUAUCGAUGUUUCUCCGCUCUUGGGUCUGCUUGCUGGGAUAGUUGGUUCUCUUGUAAGGCCCUGCUUGGUGCUUGGACAUGAGAAGCUCUCAGCCUAAGGCCUCGUUUAGUUGGCAAAAUUUUUCGUUUUUGGAUACUGUAGCAUUUUGUUUUUAUUUGACAAACAUUAUCCAAUCACGGAGUAACUAGGCUCAAAAGAUUCAUCUCACAAAUUACAAGUAAACUGUGCAAUUAGUUUUUAUUUUCGUUUAUAUUUAAUGCUCCAUGCAUGCGACCAAAGAUUCGAUGUGACGGGGAAUCUUGAAAAUUUUUGCGAACUAAACAAGGCCUAAUUCCUUGAGAAAUCGAACUGUUUCCCACAAGGUGAUUGGCUGCGGCACCGAGCAAAGUACAAAACUGGUACUAUGAUCUCUCUCUUCUCCUUUUUUUCUUGAAAGAUGAAACUGUGAAUAUUUACAUCCGAGCAAAGCAAACGAAAGGCACAGCAGGGCUGUAGCCUGUAUGUAAUAUAUACACAGCAGCCAGAGUGACCCUCGCACACAGAUCCAUCACAGAGCAAGGCUGCACAGGAG